AGAGUUUGAUCCUGGCUCAGAACGAACGCUGGCGGCAGGCUUAACACAUGCAAGUCGAACGCAUCCUUCGGGGUGAGUGGCAGACGGGUGAGUAACGCGUGGGAACGUGCCCUUCAGUUCGGAAUAACCCAGGGAAACUUGGGCUAAUACCGGAUACGUGCGAGAGCAGAAAGAUUUAUCGCUGAAGGAUCGGCCCGCGUCUGAUUAGCUAGUUGGUAGGGUAAUGGCCUACCAAGGCGACGAUCAGUAGCUGGUCUGAGAGGAUGUUCAGCCACAUUGGGACUGAGACACGGCCCAAACUCCUACGGGAGGCAGCAGUGGGGAAUAUUGGACAAUGGGCGCAAGCCUGAUCCAGCCAUGCCGCGUGAGUGAUGAAGGCCUUAGGGUUGUAAAGCUCUUUCGGCGGGGACGAUAAUGACGGUACCCGCAGAAGAAGCCCCGGCUAACUUCGUGCCAGCAGCCGCGGUAAUACGAAGGGGGCUAGCGUUGUUCGGAAUCACUGGGCGUAAAGGGCGCGUAGGCGGCUUUGUAAGUCGGGGGUGAAAGCCUGUGGCUCAACCACAGAAUUGCCUUCGAUACUGCAUGGCUUGAGACCGGAAGAGGUAAGUGGAACUGCGAGUGUAGAGGUGAAAUUCGUAGAUAUUCGCAAGAACACCAGUGGCGAAGGCGGCUUACUGGUCCGGUUCUGACGCUGAGGCGCGAAAGCGUGGGGAGCAAACAGGAUUAGAUACCCUAGUAGUCC
Molecule: ribosomal RNA, 742 nt
Filed under: uncultured bacterium
Lineage: Bacteria
Description: bacterial SSU rRNA
Rfam family: Bacterial small subunit ribosomal RNA
Source: RNAcentral